Molecule: transfer RNA, 94 nt
Filed under: Deltaproteobacteria bacterium
Lineage: Bacteria; Pseudomonadati; Myxococcota; Myxococcia
Description: tRNA-Ser
Rfam family: tRNA
About the family: Transfer RNA (tRNA) molecules are approximately 80 nucleotides in length. Their secondary structure includes four short double-helical elements and three loops (D, anti-codon, and T loops).
Source: RNAcentral
GGAGAGGUAGCGAAGCUGGCCGUAACGCGCCCGACUCGAAAUCGGGUUAUCGCAGAGAUGCGAUACGUGGGUUCGAAUCCCACCCUCUCCGCCA